GAUGAACGCCGGCGGCGUGCCUAAUACAUGCAAGUCGAGCGAACAGACGAGGAGCUUGCUCCUCUGACGUUAGCGGCGGACGGGUGAGUAACACGUGGAUAACCUACCUAUAAGACUGGGAUAACUUCGGGAAACCGGAGCUAAUACCGGAUAAUAUAUUGAACCGCAUGGUUCAAUAGUGAAAGACGGUUUUGCUGUCACUUAUAGAUGGAUCCGCGCCGCAUUAGCUAGUUGGUAAGGUAACGGCUUACCAAGGCAACGAUGCGUAGCCGACCUGAGAGGGUGAUCGGCCACACUGGAACUGAGACACGGUCCAGACUCCCACGGGAGGCAGCAGUAGGGAAUCUUCCGCAAUGGGCGAAAGCCUGACGGGGCAACGCCGCGUGAGUGAUGAAGGUCUUCGGAUCGUAAAACUCUGUUAUUAGGGAAGAACAAAUGUGUAAGUAACUAUGCACGUCUUGACGGUACCUAAUCAGAAAGCCACGGCUAACUACGUG
Molecule: ribosomal RNA, 497 nt
Filed under: uncultured bacterium
Lineage: Bacteria
Description: partial 16S ribosomal RNA
Rfam family: Bacterial small subunit ribosomal RNA
Source: RNAcentral